UGCAAGUCGAACGGGGCAGUAGCAAUAUUGUUCAGUGGCGAACGGGUGCGUAACACGUGGAUACCUACCGUGAAGUGGGGGAAUAGCCCAGGGAAACUUUGGAUUAAUACCGCAUAGUAUCGAAGGAUUAAAGGCAGGGACCGCAAGGCCUGCCGCUUUUAUGAUGGGUCCGCGGCCUAUCAGCUAGUUGGUGAGGUAAAGGCUCACCAAGGCUACGACGGGUAGCUGGUCUGAGAGGAUGAUCAGCCACACUGGAACUGAGACACGGUCCAGAACACCUACGGGUGGCAGCAGUCGAGAAUCUUUCACAAUGGGGGAAACCCUGAUGGAGCGACGCCGCGUGGAGGCUAAGGUCUUCGGAUUGUAAACUCCUGUCAUGCGAGAGCAAUGUUUAUGGGUUAAUAGCCUGUGAAAGUGAUAGUAUCGCAAGAGGAAGAGACGGCUAACUCUGUGCCAGCAGCCGCGGUAAUACAGAGGUCUCAAGCGUUGUUCGGAAUCACUGGGCGUAAAGGGUGUGUAGGCCGCGAAUUAAGUCAGAUGUGAAAACUUUGGGCUCAACCCAAAGCAUGCAU
Molecule: ribosomal RNA, 572 nt
Filed under: uncultured bacterium
Lineage: Bacteria
Description: bacterial SSU rRNA
Rfam family: Bacterial small subunit ribosomal RNA
Source: RNAcentral